Molecule: ribosomal RNA, 164 nt
Filed under: Microstegium japonicum
Lineage: Eukaryota; Viridiplantae; Streptophyta; Magnoliopsida; Poales; Poaceae
Description: 5.8S ribosomal RNA
Rfam family: 5.8S ribosomal RNA
About the family: 5.8S ribosomal RNA (5.8S rRNA) is a component of the large subunit of the eukaryotic ribosome.
Source: RNAcentral
CACACGACUCUCGGCAACGGAUAUCUCGGCUCUCGCAUCGAUGAAGAACGUAGCAAAAUGCGAUACCUGGUGUGAAUUGCAGAAUCCCGCGAACCAUCGAGUUUUUGAACGCAAGUUGCGCCCGAGGCCUUUUGGUUGAGGGCACGUCUGCCUGGGCGUCACGU